UUCGUCCUAGCUAUAGAUUGAAACCGAGAUCUUAUACAUUGAUAGUGCUUCAAAUCUGAGACAUCCUAAACCUUCAGUUGUCAAAAUAUUUGAUACGAAGUGUUUUUAUGUCUCGUCUUUGAUUCCUCCAUCAUGCUCACGCUCACCGUGGCAGCUUGUGGCCGUCAUUCAUGACAGAUUAUAAAAAAUAAUACAUCGGACNUUCAUGACAGAUUAUAAAAAAUAAUGCAUCGGACACUCGCAGAAAAUCAGUUACAGUUAGG
This 263-nucleotide unclassified non-coding RNA is filed under the name Hevea brasiliensis (rubber tree). Lineage: Eukaryota; Viridiplantae; Streptophyta; Magnoliopsida; Malpighiales; Euphorbiaceae. The record is from RNAcentral.